Molecule: ribosomal RNA, 407 nt
Filed under: uncultured bacterium
Lineage: Bacteria
Description: bacterial SSU rRNA
Rfam family: Bacterial small subunit ribosomal RNA
Source: RNAcentral
UGGGGAAUAUUGGGCAAUGGGGGAAACCCUGACCCAGCAACGCCGCGUGAAGGAAGAAGGCCUUCGGGUUGUAAACUUCUUUUAGCAGGGACGAAGGACGUGACGGUACCUGCAGAAAAAGCAACGGCUAACUACGUGCCAGCAGCCGCGGUAAUACGUAGGUUGCGAGCGUUGUCCGGAAUUACUGGGUGUAAAGGGCGUGUAGGCGGAGCUGCAAGUCAGAUGUGAAAUGUCAUGGCUCAACCAUGGAACUGCAUUUGAAACUGUGGCCCUUGAGUAUCGGAGAGGCAAGCGGAAUUCCUAGUGUAGCGGUGAAAUGCGUAGAUAUUAGGAGGAACACCAGUGGCGAAGGCGGCUUGCUGGACGACAACUGACGCUGAGGCGCGAAAGCGUGGGGAGCAAACAGG